Molecule: ribosomal RNA, 678 nt
Filed under: uncultured bacterium
Lineage: Bacteria
Description: bacterial SSU rRNA
Rfam family: Bacterial small subunit ribosomal RNA
Source: RNAcentral
AGAGGUGACUGAGCGGCGGACGGGUGAGUAACGCGUGGGUAACCUGCCUCAUACAGGGGGAUAACAGUUAGAAAUGGCUGCUAAUACCGCAUAAGACCACGGUACCGCAUGGUACAGUGGUAAAAACUCUGGUGGUAUGAGAUGGACCCGCGUCUGAUUAGGUAGUUGGUGGGGUAACAGCCUACCAAGCCGACGAUCAGUAGCCGACCUGAGAGGGUGACCGGCCACAUUGGGACUGAGACACGGCCCAGACUCCUACGGGAGGCAGCAGUGGGGAAUAUUGCACAAUGGAGGAAACUCUGAUGCAGCGACGCCGCGUGAAGGAUGAAGUAUUUCGGUAUGUAAAGCUCUAUCAGCAGGGAAGAAAAUGACGGUACCUGACUAAGAAGCCCCGGCUAACUACGUGCCAGCAGCCGCGGUAAUACGUAGGGGGCAAGCGUUAUCCGGAUUUACUGGGUGUAAAGGGAGCGUAGACGGCGUAUCAAGUCUGAUGUGAAAGGCAGGGGCUCAACUCCUGGACUGCAUUGGAAACUGGUAUGCUCGAGUGCCGGAGGGGUAAGCGGAAUUCCUUGUGUAGCGGUGAAAUGCGUAGAUAUAAGGAAGAACACCAGUGGCGAAGGCGGAUUACUGGACGGUAACUGACGGUGAGGCGCGAAAGCGUGGGGAGCGAACAGGAUU